RNAcentral lists this non-coding RNA (27 nucleotides) under Rattus norvegicus (Norway rat). The record is from RNAcentral. Lineage: Eukaryota; Metazoa; Chordata; Mammalia; Rodentia; Muridae.
UCAAAAUGGGGACCUUAGAUGACGACC